This is a long non-coding RNA of Numida meleagris (helmeted guineafowl), 826 nucleotides long. RefSeq lists it as uncharacterized. Lineage: Eukaryota; Metazoa; Chordata; Aves; Galliformes; Numididae. The transcript has 3 exons. The record is from RefSeq and is a predicted model, not a curated record.
ACGGCCUCUCCCUCUCUUCCUCCAGGGUGGCAAUGAGAGGAGGAGAGGAAAAAACAAAGGGAAAGGGAGGGCAAACACAGCACGGAGCUCGGCCGCGGGACCCAGCUGGCUCCACGUCCUGGCCCACGGCCGGCAGUGAGGCGAUGAUUUGGCCCAGUGGCCCUUGAACCACAGGUAAGGGAAAUGAUGGGCAGACACCCAGGAGACCCCUCCCAGCAGCCCCUCUUCCUCUGCCCUGCUCCCAGGAUCCCACAGAAAAGCUGGAAGAUGAGGAACAAUGCUCUGUGCCAUCCUGGCAGCUGUGGGAUGAGGGAGGUGGGAAGCACCCCAGAAAUCACUGCAAGGCAGGCGCUGAUGGAUUGCUGGGUUUCACCAUUUCCAGCAACGAGGAGGCAGCCCCAGGUUCCUGUCCCAGGGAUGGAAGAGUGAGUGGGAUGAUCAGGUCUGAUAAGAGGGUGCAGAAGGAAUAUGAUCUGUAAUAUCAAGAGGGGAUCCAGAAAUGAGACUGAAGGGCACCUGGGGCUCUGCUGCUGCCGGAUAGUUUAUGUGAUCUGCAGACAAAGCCCCGGGAGGGUUUGUCUGAGAGCAAACAGCACUGCUAUUUGCCAUGAGUAAUGCAGGGGGACAAGACAGGGAGUUGCUAGGAACCACCUGGCUGAUGUGGGGAGGGAGCAAAGCAGCGGCCCCACCACUGCUCAGUGUUUCUGAGGGCUCUGUAGAGCCACGUAGUGCCACUGCUGAGUGUCAGCAUCGCCCGCACAGGAAUGGGUGAUGCUGGAGAACGGCAUCAGCAUCGUAUCCUGCCUGGGGUGCAGUGUUGGGCACA